RNAcentral lists this ribosomal RNA (1433 nucleotides) under marine metagenome. Its description in RNAcentral is "bacterial SSU rRNA". It matches the Rfam family "Archaeal small subunit ribosomal RNA". The record is from RNAcentral.
UCCCGUUGAUCCUGCGGGAGACUACUGCUAGCAGGAUGCGAUUCAGACAUGCAAGUCUAUAUUCCGAUAUGGCGGAAGGCUGAGUAACACGUCAAUAAUCUAACCUUAAGUGGAGCAUAACCUCGGGAAACUGAGGGUAAUUCUCCAUAGGAGCGAGAUGCUGGAAAGCGCUUGCUUUGAAAGCUUCGGCGCUUAAGGAUGAGUUGGCGGCAGAUUAGCUAGUUGGUAGGGUAAAGGCCUACCAAGGCGAAGAUCUGUAGGGGUGAUGAGAGUCAUAGCCUCCAGAGGAACACUGAGAUAAGGGUUCCAGCUUUACGGAGUGCAGCAGUUACGAAACCUUUACAAUGCGCGCAAGCGUGAUAAGGGCAUCCUGCGUGCCGGCCUAUGGUCGGCUUUUGUCGAGUGUAAAAAUCUCGGAGAAUAAGGGGUGGGCAAGACCGGUGCCAGCCGCCGCGGUAAUCCCGGCGCCCCGAGUGGUAGUCAUGUUUAUUGGGUUUAAAGCAUCCGUAGCCUGUUGGAUUAGUUCUCGGUGAAAUUUAGCGUCUUAAACGUUAAGAUGGCUGAGAAAACUUACCAACUAGGGACCGGGAGAAGUAGGGGGAAUGUCGGGGGGAGCGGUAAAAUGUUGUAAUCCUCGAUGGACCAUCAGUGGCGAAGGCGCCCUACUAGAACGGCUUCGACGGUCAGGAAUGAAAGCUGGGGGAGCAAACCGGAUUAGAUACCCGGGUAGUCCCAGCCGUAAACGCUGUCUGCAAGGUGCUGCAUUUGUUUCGAGCUUAUGCAGUGUCGAAGAGAAAUCGUUAAGCAGACCACCUGGGAAGUACGGUCGCAAGGCUGAAACUUAAAGGAAUAGGCGGGGGGUCACCACAAGGGGUGUUUGUUGCGGUUUAAUUCAACUAUACGCGGGGAACCCUACCAGAGCCGACAGCAGAAUGAAGGUCAACCUGAAUGGUUUACUUGACGCGCUGAGAGGUGGUGCAUGGCGGUCGUCAGCUCGUGCCAUGAGGUGUUCAGUUAAGUCUGAGAACGAGCGAGACCUGCGUCUUCAGUUGCCACCGUUCUUAUUUGAGAGCGAGCACACUGAAGAGACUGCAUUCGAAAGGAUGAGGAAGGUGCAGGCUACGGUACGUCUGUAUGCCCCGAAUGCUCUGGGCUACACGCGACAAUCACUGGUCGGAACAACGGGCUGCGACUCCGAAAGGAGAAGCUAAUCCCUUAAAGCCGAUCCGGUCCGAAUUGAGGUUUGCAACUCAACCUCAUGAAGUCGAAAUCCCUAGUAAUCGUAUAUUAGCAAUGUACGGUGAAUACGUCCCUGACCCUUGCACUCACUGCCUGUCAAGCCAACCGAGCAGGGUUAUGAUGAGGGCUUAUCUUUUAGGUAGGUUCAAAUCAUUGCUCAGUGAGGCGGGUUAAGUCAACACAAGGUACCUGUA